RNAcentral lists this transfer RNA (81 nucleotides) under Balamuthia mandrillaris. RNAcentral's name for it is "tRNA-Leu". It matches the Rfam family "tRNA". Rfam says of the family: Transfer RNA (tRNA) molecules are approximately 80 nucleotides in length. Their secondary structure includes four short double-helical elements and three loops (D, anti-codon, and T loops). Further hydrogen bonds mediate the characteristic L-shaped molecular structure. tRNAs have two regions of fundamental functional importance: the anti-codon, which is responsible for specific mRNA codon recognition, and the 3' end, to which the tRNAs corresponding amino acid is attached (by aminoacyl-tRNA synthetases). tRNAs cope with the degeneracy of the genetic code in two manners: having more than one tRNA (with a specific anti-codon) for a particular amino acid; and 'wobble' base-pairing, i.e. permitting non-standard base-pairing at the 3rd anti-codon position. Lineage: Eukaryota; Discosea; Longamoebia; Balamuthiidae. The record is from RNAcentral.
UUCCGUCUGGCGGAAUAGGUAGACGCGGUGGGCUCAAAACUCAUUUCCUUUGGAGUAUCGGUUCAAUUCCGAUGACGGCUA